Molecule: long non-coding RNA, 4693 nt
Filed under: Homo sapiens (human)
Lineage: Eukaryota; Metazoa; Chordata; Mammalia; Primates; Hominidae
Description: HSALNT0131246
Source: RNAcentral
GGCAAAUCAGAACAAAAUGACAACCCCUCCUCACCCCAGGCCAUUGCGAUCCAGAAGCAAAGAAUGGCAGGUAGGUUAACAGCAGUAAGUUUGGUUAAGGUUUAUUAUGUGAAGUUUUAUCAUUGCUCUGCUGCUGAAUGGGUCGCAUUGGAGGCUGACACCUGGCUGCAGGUAAAACAGGUUACACUGGAGGCUGUCUCCUCUUGCUUAGAAGUAGAGGUCAUCUGUUCCUGCAGAGAAGUCACAUGGCACCCACACACCCCAACUCCUAAUGGUUCUCUCCCUUUGGGUGUGACCCCCUGGCCAGAGAACAACAAUGCCCCAGUGCGUGGGGAAGGGUGAGCCUGGUCUCUUUUCUUAACCCUUAACGUGUAGACAUGUUUACACCCAACACUCUCGUAUCUGAGGAGGAAAUUACUCCAAUACUUAAUUAAACUACUAAGUUAACAAUUUCAAAGAUUUUACUUAGUGCAAAAAAGAAAGAAGAACUUCAUUAGCCAGAUUCAACUGUUAUUUAGCAAAAUUUAAUACACAGUGAAAGCAAGCUAAAUCUAGCCUCAAUGAAGUGACCUAUUCUGUUUAUUAAUAGCACUGUCUUACUUUAAAACUGCGAGUAACAAAAGCAAGCUGAACUAAUUUUGUGUUGAUACACUUUAUUAUCACUAGUAUUGUGUGUUGAGAUCACAGCGAUGGCUAUGACAAAUGAGGUGAUGAAAUGUCAUCCCAUUCCACACCGAGUCUACAACUAAGGAUCCAAGCAUAAGAAACACUUGGAAAAUUCUGGGUUCUCCAAAGUGGACGGGGGCAUGGUUUAGUGUGCCAGACGUCAGAAGCCUACCUGUGGGCUGCUCCAAAUGUGGUCCUGGUAUGGAGGUCCAGCGUGUGGACCUUUUAUCAUUGCACUGCUGCUGAGUGAGUCGCAUUGGAGGCUGACACCUGGCUGCAGGUAAAACAGGUUACACUGGAGGCUGUCUCCUCUUGCUUAGAAGUAGAGGUCAUCUGUUCCUGCAGAGAAGUCACAUGGCACCCACACACCCCAACUCCUAAUGGUUCUCUCCCUGUGGGUGUGACCCUCUGGCCAGAGAAGGUCCACACCCUGUGGGGUCACUGAGAAGGCAGAACCUGGGGCCCCACUCAGACCCUGGCACCGGAACCGAAUGUCAGUAGUCUGGUGAUUCGUGCAUACAUUAACCUUUGAGAGCUUUGCUUUCGAUGGAACUUGAUAAAUAUUCCUUGAAGAUGCUGAAUUUACCACUCUUUGUCUUUUUUAUGUAAUGAGGAGCCAACUGCUAUCAAAAGAGGCUUGUUAUCCUCAACAAUGCUGAACAAUUACUACAUGUUUUUGAACCAGCUUGGGAUCAACCACAUCACGUUCAGAGACAAGCCUCCCAAAUGCUGCGUGAUGGGGAAGCUGACCGCCCUUUGCAACCAUUCUUGACUGAGAGCCAUGGGUGGGGCUCGCCGUGGGUGCUGUGAGAGCCGCACCCUGGGCGGAGGUUUCCAGGGCUUCAGCUGCAAAGUGCUAGGAAGACUCAAAGGGUAGGGCCUGAAAGCCCCUCUGAGAGGCAGCAACACAAACCCAGGGGAGGGCUCUGUGCGGACUUAUAUACUCGUGCCUCUGCUUAAUUCAUCUAGAACCCCUAUGGCUGUUUACAUAACAACUAUAACACUUCAUGCGGCUUAUAUGUAUGUGGAGGUAACACAUAGGCCACUAGGAAGGGGGACAGUGGUAGAUGGACCUUUUUUAGGUGCAAAGUUCUUGGCUUUAUGUGAAGUGAAGCAGUGUUAACUAAAUAGGCUGGGGCAAGCUAAGGAUGUACAUUGCCAUCACUAAAGCAACCACUGAAACAAAAGUGCAAAAGAAGAUAUAGAUUAUGAUGGGGUGGUACAAAAGUGUUGGAAAUAAACGGUGGUGAUGGUUGCACAACAUUGUGAAUGCAUGCAGUGCUACUGAAUUAUACAGUUUAUCCACGGUUUUCACCAUUUGGGAAGUUUUAUGUCAUAUAUGUUUUGACAUGAUAAAAGAAAAAUUACAAAACAUAGCUUAAAAAGCCGAUAAAUAGAAAGCCAAUAGGUAAAUAAAAAUGGGAUUGUAAAAAAAUCAGUCAACUCAAAAGAAGGCAAAAAAGGAAGAAAACAGCAACAACAACAAUGAAACUGAGGGACAAACAGAAAGCAAAUCUCCGAAUGGAAGACCCUGAGCCAUAAGGAAGAUCACAUUAUAUGCACUGGAUUCCACUUUCCAAAGAGAAGGCAGAGAUACUCAGAGUGGAUAAAAAUGCAAGACGCAGUGCUACGCAGAGAAGCUGAAAGAAAAGAUGGAAAAGGCAAACCACGCAAACAGCAGUGGGAAGAAGGCUGGAGGGGCUUUGUGAAUAUCAGAUAAGAUCCCUGAAGACGGAGCGUUACCAGAGACAAUGAGGGAUGUUCAUAAUCAUGAAACGGUGUGUUUACCAGGAAGACAUAACAGACAUAACAACCAACAAUGUAUAUAAGCCCAGUAACAGAGUUUCAGAAUCAUGAAGCAAGCCUCAACAGCGAUGAGGGAGAAGCAGGCAGACCCUGGGCCAACUUCCUCGGAGGGCUGCCGGGUGCACAGGGCUGGGGUGUUAGUACAGGGGUCCUAGUCGACACCCAGCUAUGCACGCUCUGCAGAACUGUCUACAAACCAAGAGAAAACCCCUUUUCCCCUGCUGUGAUCAGAAAUCCUGACUUUAAUUCCAGUUGCAGUGUGUGUGGCAGAAUGUGGCCCGUGAGUCAGAGGUUCUGAGUUCCGGUUGUGACUUGGCCACUCAAUUCGUGACCUGGAAUAAGUCAUACACUUCGUUGAACUACAGUUUCCUUAAAAGUCAGUAGACAGUUUAAAAAGUCAUCAGAUAAUGUUUAGGACCAUUUCCACCUCCAGGAAUUGGAUACUCAUUCUGGGCUUUGGAUAUUUUAACCAUUUUUACAAAAAGGUAUGAGGUAUACAGUUUUAUUGCAUAAAGUCUUUGAAGAAUUAUCUAAGUAAAACCAUUUCCCUUGAAAGCAUAUUGAGGAAAUUUGAAUAAGGCUGGAAAUAUUUUCAUAAUCUUGUGCUUGCGUAGGAAACACACUAAGUCCUUUUGUGCGGAACUUAACAUCUGUGGCAGCUAGAUUCCCUCACUAGCUUACCCGCUCCCCACCCUCUUCGUGGAAUUGUUGUAACCAUAGAAAGUAAAUCCAGGUACAAAGCACUGGCUCCGCCUUCAAGCACCUUUGGGAAGUGGUUUCAUCUCCAGUGCCUCAGUGCUCCCGUGAUUGAGUAAAGGGAGAAAGGAGUCAUCCCCAGCUCACAGAACAGUCCUGCGGCCCGGGGAGGCAGUGCCUGCAGACAGCCUGGAGACCCCGGAACCUGCUCGGCCCUCCCCUCCUGCUAGCUUUCUGCAGUUCCCCAUCCCCCAUUCUGCCUUCUCUCAAGGUAAAAUUGUGGUUACAGCAAUUAAAGGUAUUCAAACACAGCAGAGCAGAUUUACUCGAUCAGCUGUGAUGGCUUUGCAGGCACCAGGUCCUUCAAGGCGAGGCUGGAGGGUGCGGACUGUCCUCCCUGCUGGGUUUGGAAGGCUUCCCUGUUCCUGUCCUCUCUGGUCAUGACCUGUGGUGACUGCGUCAGGAGUAUUUGUUUGGCUCAGCAUUAUUGAUUUAUCCUGCAGUAUUCCUUUCCCGAACUGAGAGAGGUCCAACAGCAGCAAGUUAAAGAAAGUCAACCUUUUGGGAUAUGGCCAAGGAGGCCCUCUUCCCAGAGAUUUGGGCUUCACCGGCCACUGCAAGUAGCCUGCAGGGUUGUCAUUUUGGAUGGCUGUGGGGCAGUACACUUGGAGGCAGGUGGCUGUCUGCAAUCCCCUCAGCUUCUUUGAACAUGUGUUAAGAUACGGUGGCAUCUGCAAGUGGAAGCUGAUGCUCAAACCGAAUCGUGCCUUCACAGCCCCUGGGGCCUCGGUACCCAGAUUCUGCAGUGAUACCAGCUGAACCAGAAGCCAAUGGCAGCUUGAAACAGCAGCUUGCUCCUGUAUCUGAGGAUUCUGUGGUCCCGAAUCAGCACGUGUCACAGAUGUUUGGAGGAGACCGAGAGUGUGCUGUCGGCACGCAUCGUCCGUGAAGCAAUGGGGCAGAGUUCAUCCCUUACUUCAACCUAUGCAUCGCUGUUUUGUGCAUCGUCAUAAAAACAACACAUUCCAAAUGCACUGUCAUGGGCUUGGAAGGAAAAUAAUAAAGAAAACAAACCCCAAAUGAAAUUGCACAAUGUCUAGAGUGUCUUCAGUGCGUUUUCUUCUGCCUUAAAAAACCAACCAAACAAAAGCGACCUACUUGAGACCAUACAAUGAGGCAGACACUGGAUGUUUAGCUCCCAGCCCCUGACCCCCCUGCCGGCCUGGCAAGGUGAAUCUUGGGGAUAUACAGACCUCCCAGCUGCCCUGGUUGCUGGGUGCAGGUGCAGGACCCAGACUCAGCCAACAGCACACACAGCCAGCUCUAAAGUGGAAGCUGGUGGCACAAGGCAAAAGGCCAGCAUCCUUGGCUUCGGAGGUGGCUUCAUCCCCUCUUCAGGAGCAGUGGGUCAGUGGCACUGGGCCCGUGUCCAGUCCUGACCUGUGCUGGCCCUGGAGCUGCAGUAUUGCUGCCCCCCAGGCCCCUGGCUGGGCUCCUGGUCCUGCUGCUGCUCGGCCUCUCCCUC